GGUAAAUUCGAGUGAUUUCGUCUCUAACUUGUCGGAGGAAACGUGAAAGGGUUGUGGCCGUCGUGCAGCCUACCGUCAACUAUUUUGUUCAAAAUCAUUUUAUUCUACUGGAUGUGUCAUCGAAAGGAUACAGCUCUGGACUCUGGGGAAUCCUCACUUAUACUCGAGUCAACCUGCAAACAGGUUGGCCAGUUUGUCCUUACGAACGCUUGAAGGUCACGAGAAACAUUACGUAAAACUGGCAUGUGGUGGUUUAGAGGUUGGGUGAGAACGACACGCGUUUCAACAUUAUCAAGCAG
This 299-nucleotide unclassified non-coding RNA is filed under the name Daphnia pulicaria. Its description in RNAcentral is "uncharacterized LOC124350825, transcript variant X1". Lineage: Eukaryota; Metazoa; Arthropoda; Branchiopoda; Diplostraca; Daphniidae. The record is from RNAcentral.